AUGGAAUUUUUCAUCCAAAUCAUCUCUCUAUCUAUUCUUCUUUUUCAAUGGCGCGCCGUUGGACUUCUAACAGCGCUCAAAUUCUCCAGGUACGAAACCUUCUUGUUCGUCACUAUAUUCCCUGCCUUAUUCCCUUGUUUCAGAUCUGAAUCCAAGUUUAAAUCAUCUGAAUUCCCAAACGAUUCCUUCUUCAUCUCCGUCUCGUUUUGAUCCUGUCCCCACCCCAUGAAAUCCAACAGCGUCAUUGAAGCCGGCGUUUCUGGGCCGUUGUUCAACUCUUCUAAUUUUUCCAUUGGGGGUUCGCUCGUCGGCUUCCUCCUUGUUGCUAUUUGUGAUGGGUUCUGAGUUAACCCAUCGGCGUGGAGUACGUCUUCAAUUCGUGACAUCACUGUGAAGGCUAAGCUUUCCAGUAUUCUGGAGUAGCUUUCUAAAACGGCGUGCCCCACGUCCUGCAGUUCACCCAAGACGGCAAGAUCGUUGUCUUUGCUGCUCAACUUUGGCUUUGAAGCCCUUUCAGAUCGAUUGGAUGGUGCCAGUGGUGGCCCAGCUUGGUGUUUCUCAGAAGAGUUGUGAACCGGUGUCGAUCCCUGGCUUCUCGACGUCGACAAAUCAUCUUCAUUGACAGAGUCAAAUACAUUGGCACUCUCCACACUCAAGCUCUUGGCAUGUCUGCCUGUAUUCUCAUGAUUUCCUCUGAAAAGAAAGAAUCUGGACCUGAAACCUUCGUGCUCUUGCUCCAUAGCACGAACCAUUCUUAGUUUCUUGACGAAACGUUUGACGGAAAACACAAGAGACAACAAACCGGCAACUGGGUGGUGAUGAUUAAUUAUGAAUGCCUAGUGAAUUUCAGACAGCAUAGAGAGAAAAUGAAGAGAAUUGAGAAAAAAAGGAGGAAGAGAAGCAAGCAGGAUUUAGAGAAGAACUAGAAGAAAAAAAAAAGGUGGAUUAAGAUAUUCUUGUUUUGCUUCUCUUUACCUCCUUUGAACUGAAGAAUAAGGAAAGUUUUUUGUUUUAUUUACUCUCUCUCUCUAGCUAGUUUUACUUUUUGGUUAUUGGAUUGAUCUUUCCUUUUCUCCUUCUAUUUUUGAGAAGGAGAAUGAUACAAUGUGAGGUUCAUCUUAAGAAAAGGAUGAUUUGGUUAGACAAAGAAAGAGAAAGAAAUGUUUUGAACUUA
Cucumis sativus (cucumber) is the source of this 1174-nucleotide long non-coding RNA. RefSeq lists it as uncharacterized. Lineage: Eukaryota; Viridiplantae; Streptophyta; Magnoliopsida; Cucurbitales; Cucurbitaceae. The record is from RefSeq and is a predicted model, not a curated record. The transcript is spliced from 2 exons.